This 2844-nucleotide ribosomal RNA is filed under the name Triticum aestivum (bread wheat). Its description in RNAcentral is "partial small subunit ribosomal RNA". Lineage: Eukaryota; Viridiplantae; Streptophyta; Magnoliopsida; Poales; Poaceae. The record is from RNAcentral.
CCACGGCCACGCACAGGCUACCGCAGUGGUUUGCCGCUGUCAAAAAGGGGAAGAAUUUAGAGUAGGUGGGAGGGGGAGGACGGGGGCAGGUGUGCGUCUGGUCUCUCUGCGUGUGCCGGUGCCCUUCGAAGAUCUAAGGCAGCUUAAGGCGGCGGCGGCUUGGGAUUAAGGGGACGGGCCGGCGAGGCUAGGCGGGGCGACAGAGGGCCGAGCGCCGCGGUUACCGGCUGUCCCUCCUCCUCUUCCGCCUCCGGCACGCCCUCCCCCUCCUCGUCGUCCUUGAACUCCUCCUCAUGCUCUCGCUGGAGCUGCUGCGCGGGGAGGGCCGCCACUCCGCGGCCCGGCGCCGCUCGCUGCUCCUUCUCCUCCUCCUACUCCUCCUGCGCCCCAACGGGCGCGGCGCCUCCCCCCGGCCUAGGCCACGCCUCAGGCUGCCCGUCCCGCGGCGGCUCCUCAUGCCGCUCCUCAUGCUCCUCCUCAUACUCCUCAUGCUCCUCCACAUGCUCCUAAAGCUCGUCCCCGCCCCGCCCCGCCGGCGGGUCCGCCAACGGCGCGGCUCUCGCCGCCGCCUCCCCCGGCUCCUCCCUCCACUUCGCCGCUGUCGCCGCCGCCGCCGCCCUCUCCUCCCCCUCCUCCCCUUCUUCCUCUCGCUCGGGAAACGGCACGGCUGCCGCCCGCGAAAGAUGUACGUGCUGCUGGCGAAGGUCCUCAGGGCGCCGCCGGCGCCAGCGCCUUCCUCUUGUGACUCAUUAUCCUUGAACACCUUAGGAUUUCUCCUCCUUCGAACCCAGGUACUGUCUAAACUACUCUACGUAGGUGCACCCAUAGUAUUACCGUUAUACUCUUUAAGUUCCCCGGCGAGACCUCCCGCACAACCACCUGGACCGCCGUCCUGAGCACCACAACCGGCACCAUUAAAGUCUCCGUUGUCCAGAGCUCGCGUAUUAGGACUACCAUUGGUCUUGAUGUCGAUACAAGGUUUCCCUAGAGAUCAAAGGGAACUAUUAUGUUUUUUACGACAUGGUCAGGACGCGCUCGUGUCCUUCUUGUCUCGAGGAUUUAGCAGAGUACGAGCGUUACUACUACAACUAUUAAAACUACACCAAGGUUUUCUUAGAAUGUGAAUGUUACUGCCAAGGUCUUCAGCAUUCCGGUGUGGUUCGCAUUAAGUACCGUCUCCGAGAUCUGCAAUGGUUGGUGCAGCGUCAUGGUUACUCUAUAGAAGUCUCGUUUUACUAUUUAGUGUCUUUGGACUUUUACGAAACAGUUUACGUUUAAACCCCUUUGUGGUCGGAGUCUUAAGUUUAAGAGCCGGACUCGUUCCAAAAGGAUUAUUCGUUAGGAAACGUAGUUUGAACUUAAGUCGGAGCGGCGGAAAAAUGGGAAGUUCCGGCAGGGUGGUCCUUGACUAACCAGUUUCCCCCUUACGUGUUGGAUCAUGGUGAUCAUCUGGGAAGAGUGGGGGGUAACCAUACCAUGUACAAAGAGGUUGGGGUGUUUUACGGGGGGACAACUCUCCCUUCCGAAAGCAUGGCUUCCCGUGUUUAUAUGUCAGUAGAGGUAGUAGUAGUUUAUGGGUUAGGUGUGAUUCCUACGGUUGGGUCUACAACCCACGUGUUAAACCAUCAUCACCAGCUUACGGUAGAAAGUGUGUUGGAUGCAGAUGUCGAAACUGACUUCUGUGACCACAAAGAAGUGGACUACCUAGUUUGCUUCGACAAUGAGCUAACUGCCACUUCCCCGUUGGACCACUGGUCCCUCUUCUCGCACGAAGAAAAGGGAUACCACCUCCAGUACAAGACCCUCGAUGUCCUCCGGAAAGUGAACCACUGUUUCCAAAGGUACCUUGGGGUCGUGAGAAAGGUCAAUACGUCAAACCUCCGGUCGUAGGUCCACACGGACCACAAGGAAGUUAGCCAUACCGAAAUGGUCCUAAACACAGAGUCGUUGUUGUACCGCAGUCGUUAAGACUCUACCGAACCGACGGUUAUAACAGGCCAAGGCGACCUCCAAAUCCUCGUUGAAUACCGAGUGGAAUAAAACGGUACCUACCGUCGAUAAUAAGGGCUGGAAGACUCGUCCGUAGAAGAAGUCAAUUAGGAUCUCUUGAAUCACGUUCAUUACGCGGCAGAGUCAACUUCGGGGGUGUUUAUUGUCUUCAACAUUUACUACUCGGAUCAGUUGCGGUUUUAUUUGGAGCGGCUAUGAGCGUCUACUUGGAACCGGUCACUGGUAUCCUACUACAAUUGUUCGUGAAGUACUCGAAACCCAGAAACGUUCUAAACCCGUUCUGAACAAUAGAGUUGUUCCAGAAUGACUCAUCGACUUCGUGAAGCCACAGACGAGACACGUGAAACCCAAUAAAUCAUAGGUUUUCUACAGUCCAACCGACAACUUCGACAGGUACAGUGAUAUUAGUGAGCGUCACUAAUAAGACUACCCAGCGACGGUCGCCAAGACAACGAGAUCGUGCAUUCUGAUGACGGCUACUGCCCUCCGCUCUAAGAACCCCAGCACAAACCAACCCCUUCCUUCACAUUAUCUUACCAGUACCAAGGUGCGGCGACCUUGUCCAACCAAGGCAAACACACGAACCAGUCACAAACCAAACUCCCUACCUAAACCAACUCGAGUGGAGAACACAUCUUUACCACUCUAAUGGAGCAUACGUACACAUCUGAUAUACUUGUUAAUAAUGAGACAUAAAAUCGUUGUCUAAUAAGCUGAAGAGCCGUUGUAAAGUUAACAUAGAUGACGUGAACGACGGCAUGAACGGUUUGUAAAAGGGUACACGUUACCGUAGUCGGUUUAUGACUUUUGACUUAGCUAACUACCUCACACAAC